RNAcentral lists this long non-coding RNA (454 nucleotides) under Malus domestica (apple). Its description in RNAcentral is "long non-coding RNA (MDOM_LNC005883)". The record is from RNAcentral. Lineage: Eukaryota; Viridiplantae; Streptophyta; Magnoliopsida; Rosales; Rosaceae.
CAUAGUCUAUAUACAUGGGAUGGAAAUCUAUAUUGAUAGAUUUUAGGAUAUAAUUUGAUUAUAUUAAUCCCUAAUAAUAGACAAAAGAUGCUAGGAAGUUUCUCAUAUGAUGAUAAACUUUAAUCAGAAGAACAACUCUAGUGAGACUAGGAGGUAGCUCUUCUCAAAGGGAAUGUACCCUUUGACUCCCAAAGAAAUAAUGCGUAAAUAGAAUCCUUUAUGCGUAAGCAGAAAGGUGAUUUAUGUAUUUCAUAUUGUAUGAAAAACAUUGAUAUGGGUUGUAUCUAGAAAGGUACAAGACGAUAUCAGUGUAAGCCCAGGAUCAGAACCAUGGCAACUGUCAAGUAAGUCCUUAAGUAUUUAAGAAAUACUAAAGGAUAAAUUCCUCAAAGAAUGAGGAAGAAUCAGAGUAACGUAAUGGAAGCGUAAAUGUAUUAGAUUAUGAAUCUAAUCC